ACUUUGCGAGUCCCCUAUGAAUCUGCAGGUAAAGGAGGAUUCAAACGGGCCAAGCUUCGGUUCACCGCAGUAACUGAGCGCACCAGAGUCAGGUUCUUGAGCACAUACUACCACAUGAAGAGUGAUCACUCUGGCUCCUUGUGUGGUCCUGUGGUUGAUGAUGUGAGAUUAGUCGGAGUUCGCUAUCCAUAAAUUCCAUAGAUCAAUUAAUUACUAGUAAUAUAGAAGCUAUGAUGGUUAUUACUUUAUUUGCUUCGCCUUUUCUUUCUUCUUACAGCAUUGCUUAUGCGAGGGAAUCAGUUACUAUUCCAUGUAAUGUUACUAUAGCAGACAUGUUCCUUUCUCCAUAUAGCAAAAGAAAUUAGAAGGUUUAAAUCAUUUAGUCUUCGUUGUCAUAUCUUACAUGUACCUACAAAAUUUCAAGAAAUCAAAUAAAAUUACCUCCAUCAAUCUGCUCUCGCUGUCAAUAUUAAAUUAGAUCAAUAAAAAUUCUAUCUUCCUUAUUUUUUAAUAUAUAGGUAAUCCAAACUGGCAAACUCUAUCUUAGACUCCAAAGAAGAGAUGACUCUAAACAAAUCAUUGCCACAUACUAAACAAAGUACGGUUAAAAUAUCAAGCAAGUGGCACACACAUUUUUCCUUACUCUUUAUCCAUUCUAAAUUGCUAUUCCAGUCUGCUAUAUCUUAUCGGAUAAUGCAAGUUAACUCCAAUUUAUUGUCAUCUAAAACUGAAACUCACUUGAUUUGGUCCAAAAUUCACUAAGAGAAGAAAUUUAAUUACUUAUUUCUAUAGAUUACCUAAGUCAUAAGACAUCCAUUAUCAAAGCCGGCAGCUGCUUCAUUAGCAGAAGGCUGUGGAACUCGAUCACUCAGUUUUCUGGGUUGAGUGAACAUCUAACCUUCAUCAUUAGCCUCAUCCUCAAUUUCUGCCACCAUGGCCUUAGUUUCUUCUUCAAUUCCCUAAUGUAUAUGCCAUUUCAACAAGAUCACAACAGAAAUUAGCGACUUUAAGUGGCAAUAUCCACACUCUUGGUGACCUUGAUGAAUCCUAUCCAGUAUAAGCAAUGUUUGCAAAGUUACAGAGCCCAAGGACUUCAGCACCUAUAAGGCUAUAACUGCAAAUGCUCUGAAAGUCUUUAAUCCCGGUAGAUCCAAGCAAGGAUGUAGGUUCAUGCUCUGUAACAAAUCAUAGAACAAUCUAGUUGGGCCAUGCAUAUUUCUAUAGCAAUAUAAUUUGCAAAGCAGCUAUGCCAAUGUAAAGGACAACAACACCACUACCUAAGUAGAAGCCAGAACUAUCCCGCUGCUUUAAAUGAUGAAUGGAGUGUACACUCUCUAUAUAUUAGCAAAACAAUAGCACUUGCUCUUCUUAACAAGCUACUCCUGCUUCGAAUAUAAAGGGAUUACUAAAAUUUUGGAAUAUGGAAAAAAAAAAAAAGGAAAAGAUAUAUCUCAUUCAAAUUUCAAACUGAACUUCCGAUAUAUGUGUCACAGUACUAAUCCAAGGAAGGAGGAUACUCAAAAAAAUCAAACAAGGAUUCCCACCAUUUCACUCAUAGCAAGGGUUCCGAAAUCUUUUUAUUAAUCUAAUUAUAAUGGAUUGUUAAAAAACUUUGUAGGCACAAGGCCAAAAAAAAUUCAAGAAUAUUUUACCGUGUUCGAAAGCUGAAGUCGUCUCUCCAGCAUGUUGCUUCGGCAACUACAGAGUUGAUCCAUCCAAAUCCUGAACUGAAAAAUUAAAGAGAAUCAAAUUUUGGCAAAAGUGAAACCUGGACUCUCAAUCAGAUUCGGGUCAAUUUUAAUAACCCGACAACUCCUUAAACAUGGACCGAAUUGCUACACUGGGG
Molecule: long non-coding RNA, 1846 nt
Filed under: Solanum tuberosum (potato)
Lineage: Eukaryota; Viridiplantae; Streptophyta; Magnoliopsida; Solanales; Solanaceae
Description: long non-coding RNA (STUB_LNC004228)
Source: RNAcentral